CUACCCGGGUAUCUAAUCCUGUUUGCUACCCACGCUUUCGUACCUCAGCGUCAGAUAAUGGCCAGAAAGUCGCCUUCGCCACCGGUAUUCCUCCUAAUAUCUGCGCAUUUCACCGCUACACUAGGAAUUCCACUUUCCCUUCCAUCUCUCAAGUUAAACAGUUUUAAAAGCUUACUAUAGUUGAGCUAUAGCCUUUCACUUCUAACUUUUCUAACCGCCUACGUACCCUUUACGCCCAAUGAUUCCGGACAACGCUCGGUCCUUACGUAUUACCGCGGCUGCUGGCAC
Molecule: ribosomal RNA, 288 nt
Filed under: uncultured Anaerococcus sp.
Lineage: Bacteria; Bacillati; Bacillota; Tissierellia; Tissierellales; Peptoniphilaceae
Description: partial 16S ribosomal RNA
Source: RNAcentral